AACAGUGGCAGGUGUCACCGGUGCUCCACCCCCCAGGCACUCCCCAUUACUCCCCGGUGCGUCCAGCCCCACCUUGCCGCUAACUAGAACAGCAGCCAAGAUUCUCCCACCCGAUUCUGGUCCCGGCUCUCUUGCCCUGUGUCCCUGCUGAAGGUCAACUAAAGUCUGUAAGAUUACCGACCCACCUAGAGGGGAGCUGCAAACAAUCACUGGACGGGAUUCAGAAGACCACACUGAGUCAAAAGACAACAAUGAGCACUGAUUACAAACACGAUGAUACCACAGUCAAACCGGUCGUUGGACAAGUGCAUUCAGUACAAAAAAUGAAUAUAAGAGAUUAUAGGAAAACAGAUCAGUUAUAUAAACUUAUUAUUUGAUACCACUACUGUAUCAUCAUACACUUGCUGUCUAUGUACUGAAUGGUUUGGUCCAUAGUCUAUUAUUACCUUUUCUGUAUUUGGGUGUAGUGAUUUAAAAUGUUUUGUUUAGUUAGUAAUUUCUCUGUCAUUACCUUGCUAGACAUUUCUUCCUAUUUGUCAUAAUUUAUAUUUAUAAUUAAACAUAAUAUGAACUUAUGUAGGUAUAACUGUCAUUGGACCAGAUGAAUCCCAUUUUCCGGACACUUAUGAGAAAUUAAUGAGCGUGUAAAAUGAUAGUCCAUACCUACAGUGUGUCGAUUGACUGAUUUGGCUUAACAACCAGUGUCCUAACUACAAGUAGUACUCUGUGUAGCUAUGCCCUAUUAAAGAUGAUUUGAAACUAGA
Xenopus tropicalis (tropical clawed frog) is the source of this 764-nucleotide long non-coding RNA. RefSeq lists it as uncharacterized. Lineage: Eukaryota; Metazoa; Chordata; Amphibia; Anura; Pipidae. The transcript has 2 exons. The record is from RefSeq and is a predicted model, not a curated record.